This is a long non-coding RNA of Heterocephalus glaber (naked mole-rat), 996 nucleotides long. Lineage: Eukaryota; Metazoa; Chordata; Mammalia; Rodentia; Bathyergidae. The record is from Ensembl.
CAGGGCUAUUUGGAGAAUGUUGAAUUAUCUAUGAGAGGUAAAUAAAGGAAACUUGAAUAAACUGGAUGGACAGGGAGAGGAUCUUGGAGAGUCAAUGAAAUAAAAGUUUUUUCCUAGGCUAAAAUGAUGGGAAGAUGUGGAAAAUAAACUCAUCUUGCCUUUUUAAUGGUCACCACUGGAACAGAACAUCCUUUAAAAUCUGCCUGGUAGCUGAAUUGUUGAUUGAAUUCUGCAAGCAAAUGCCAACAUUACCAAAGUAAAACCACAGUGUAGAACAAGAGAAAUACUGAAUUCACCAGUGUAGCAGAUUGGAUUCUCUGCAACAACUGCUGAGAUGGAAUUUGAGGAUGAAAGAUGGUUAUUAUGAAUUAACAUCUGUGGAGGGAGACACAGACAGGAUUCAACUCAACUCCAAGUUACUGUGGAGCAAGCAAUGCCCAUUAGGUUUCAGUUGUUUUCAACAGAAGGGCGGGUCCAAGACCAACUCCUCCAUCAGGACCAGAAGAGUUUAAAAAUUUUGGAAGUACAAAAGGCAGCAAGAAACCCAGACCACAGCUUGGAAUGUUUGGCUGUAGACCCUUUCUCAGUUCUGGAGGCUACAAGUUCUACAUCAACGUAGUAGAUUGUUCACCAGUGGCUGUCUUCUGGCUCUGUCCUCACAUAGCAGAAUGGGUACUGGGGAUUGAACUUGGGACCUUGCACUUGCGUGGCAGGCAGCAGAACCACUGAGCUAAAUCUCCAGCCCAAUGUAACCCAGGCUGGAUUGAACUUUCAACUAUCCUCUUGCUUCAGUCUCCCAAAUGCUGGGAUUACUGGUCUUUGACGGUACUGCCACAUUCCAUAAUCAUAUCUGCAAAAAAGACACAAGUAAAUGGAUCCUGUAUGGAUCUUCAGUUUCAUAUGCUUCUGACAGGUCUCAUCUGAAGUUUGCAAUGAUCUGGAUUGAGAUCUAAUGAUUACUGACUGUUAUCUGAUCACUGUAACAAGGCUACUGAG